Cygnus atratus (black swan) is the source of this 996-nucleotide long non-coding RNA. RefSeq lists it as uncharacterized. The record is from RefSeq and is a predicted model, not a curated record. The transcript has 4 exons. Lineage: Eukaryota; Metazoa; Chordata; Aves; Anseriformes; Anatidae.
UUCGCAGAACGCUGAGUUGGUCGGGUUUGCUAUGAAAACCUUUCAACAAGCCUUUGGAGACCACACGUCUCAACAACGCAAAAACUUUGGAAGAAGACAGGCUUUUACUUUUCAAAAAGACAAGAGUGUUUCUCACAAACUGGGGGCUUGUCCCGGAUCCUGUUGCCUUCUGGGGAACCCUGUUACCACUGCAGCAGGAAGGCGUGCUCCGCUGAUUUCACCGGUCCUGUGCCUUGGUGAUGCAGAGAGCUGAUGAAGGAACUGAGACUGGUUAAGAAGGCAGGAUUGGUGAAGAGCUGGGGAAGAAAGGAAGGAAGCGAGUGUGGAGACCCGACACGUGGUUCUGCAGCUCAGCGAGGGGCGAGGCCAGGGACAGAAGAAGUGAAAGGGUCACUCGUUGGGAUCAGACAGGAAAGGAGAUCAGACAGUAAAGAAGCGGAUCAGACAGUAAAGAAGCAAUUGACUACGUCCUGGAAACUUGGCUCCCCGGAACGAAGUGCUGACCUUUGGCACUUCUCCGAAUUCAAAUGGUGCCAAGCAAAGAUGUGGGAGUUUCGCCAUAUGAAACCUAAUUUGGAUUGCCGGACCUGGGCAAAGGGAAUGAACUACCUCAAUUUGAGACAAAAGAUGCUUUUCUUAAAAACUACAUGUUUGGGAUUUUGUCGUCUUUGUCAUCGCUCAGGACCAUUAGUCCAUUAGGAUCAUUAGCUCAAACCCCAACCUUGGAAGUCCCGAUCCAUCCAUUCCGAGCAGGAGAUUGGCUUUUGAUACGAGCGUGGAGGGAAUUGAAACUGCAACCUGAGUGGGACGGACCGUUCCAGGUACUCCUGACUACUGAGAUGGCAGUAAGAACAGCUGAGAAAUGGUGGACUCAGUACACUCACUACACCCGGGUGAAGACAUCAGUUGACCCUGAGACCUGAGAGACUGUUCCUAGAGGAGAACCUUUAAAAUUAAAAAUUAGGAGGAGGUGUGAAUCAUAGUUGUAAACUAACC